Claviceps monticola is the source of this 110-nucleotide non-coding RNA. NCBI's taxonomy places the organism in Eukaryota, Fungi, Ascomycota, Sordariomycetes, Hypocreales, Clavicipitaceae. The record is from the annotation of a GenBank genome assembly.
GGUGAGAUGGCCGAGUUGGUUAUGGCGUCAGGUUAAGGUUGACAACCUCAACAACAAAAAAUUGUUUCCUGAUGGAGAAAUCCGCCUGGGUUCGAGUCCCAGUCUCAUCA